Molecule: non-coding RNA, 121 nt
Organism: Picea glauca (white spruce)
Lineage: Eukaryota; Viridiplantae; Streptophyta; Pinopsida; Pinales; Pinaceae
Source: Rfam
UCAUGCCUACAAAAUAGUGUUAAUGCAUCAGAUCCCAUUAGAACUCCACAGUUAAGCACGCUUAGGCUAGAUUAGUAUUGGGAUGGGUGACCACUCGGGAAGUCCUACUAGUUUACAUGCC